CAUUGUCGACGCGUUGAGAGAACGAAGAGAAUCGGUGACCCGACCGUAGAGUGGCCUGGCGGGGCAGUUGUUGCCUCUGCCUGGCCCCUCUCCCCUUGCGCUCGUCUUUCCCGCCUCCCCCCUGCUCGCGGCGGGGUGGCGGGUCGGGAAAGCACGGGCCUUCAACGAACCCUCGACGCGGGCCGCGUCAAGGACCACCUGAUCUGACCAUUACAGGGCGCGACCCUAGCUUUGCCUCGCCUCCGUGCGAUGCGCAUGCUGCUUCGCGUCUCUGUCGGAAAAAUAUUACGAUGACUCUCGGCAACGGAUAUCUAGGCUCUCGCAUCGAUGAAGAACGUAGCGAAAUGCGAUACUUGGUGUGAAUUGCAGAAUCCCGUGAACCAUCGAGUCUUUGAACGCAAGUUGCGCCCGGAGCCGUCAGGCCGAGGGCACGUCUGCCUGGGCGUCGCACGUACCUCCGCUCCCCUUCCCGCAUCUUCCCGGAUGCGCGGUACGGUGAGUUGGAUAUUGGCCAUCCGUGUGUUGGAGUCACGGUUGGCUCGACGUCUUCAUGCAUGCGCGUUCGCAUCACGACGGGUGGUGAUCGUCCAUGAGAUGCCCGUGUACGUCGUGAUCGCCGCGCUGCAUGUUUCCCAUUGGUCGCCCGGCGCUGUGGAGGCACGUUCAGGUGCCCCUCCGAACCGUACGGACCCCAGUCAGC
RNAcentral lists this ribosomal RNA (700 nucleotides) under Najas graminea. Its description in RNAcentral is "eukaryotic LSU rRNA". The stretch from base 293 to 448 matches the Rfam family "5.8S ribosomal RNA". The record is from RNAcentral. Lineage: Eukaryota; Viridiplantae; Streptophyta; Magnoliopsida; Alismatales; Hydrocharitaceae.